CCUCUGAUAGCUCAGCUGGAAGAGCGCAAGACUGUAAAUCUUGAGGUCCCUGGUUCGAUCCCGGGUCAGGGGA
This 73-nucleotide transfer RNA is filed under the name Penicillium roqueforti FM164. Its description in RNAcentral is "tRNA-Tyr (GTA) (tRNA-Tyr-GTA-3-1)". It matches the Rfam family "tRNA". Rfam says of the family: Transfer RNA (tRNA) molecules are approximately 80 nucleotides in length. Lineage: Eukaryota; Fungi; Ascomycota; Eurotiomycetes; Eurotiales; Aspergillaceae. RNAcentral also lists the same sequence under 1 other name. The record is from RNAcentral.